UCCCCUAGUAACGGCGAGUGAAGCGGGAACAGCUCAAAUUUGAAAUCUGGCCCUUGGGUCCGAGUUGUAAUUUGUAGAGGAUGCUUUUGGUGCGGUGCCUUCCGAGUUCCCUGGAACGGGACGCCUUAGAGGGUGAGAGCCCCGUACGGUUGGACGCCUAGCCUCUGUAAAGCUCCUUCGACGAGUCGAGUAGUUUGGGAAUGCUGCUCUAAAUGGGAGGUAUAUUUCUUCUAAAGCUAAAUACUGGCCAGAGACCGAUAGCGCACAAGUAGAGUGAUCGAAAGAUGAAAAGCACUUUGAAAAGAGGGUUAAAUAGCACGUGAAAUUGUUGAAAGGGAAGCGUUUAUGACCAGACUUUUUCUAGGGGGAUCAUCCGGCGUUCUCGCCGGUGCACUUCCCCUAGUGAAGGCCAGCAUCGGUUUUCGGAGGGGGAUAAAAGCUUCGGGAAUGUGACUCCCUCGGGAGUGUUAUAGCCCGUUGCAUAAUACCCUUCUGGGGGACCGAGGUUCGCGCAUCUGCAAGGAUGCUGGCGUAAUGGUCAUCAACGACCCGUCUUGAAACACGGACCAAGGAGUCGAACAUUUAUGCGAGUGUUUGGGUGUUAAACCCUCACGCGUAAUGAAAGUGAACGGAGGUGAGAGCCCUUACGGGUGCAUCAUCGACCGAUCCUGAUGUCUUCGGAUGGAUUUGAGUAGGAGCAUAACUGUUCGGACCCGAAAGAUGGUGAACUAUGCGUGGAUAGGGUGAAGCCAGGAGAAAUCCUGGUGGAGGCUCGCAGCGGUUCUGACGUGCAAAUCGAUCGUCAA
RNAcentral lists this ribosomal RNA (806 nucleotides) under Nigrospora sp. MW-2017c. RNAcentral describes it as "eukaryotic LSU rRNA". It matches the Rfam family "Eukaryotic large subunit ribosomal RNA", at positions 76 to 908 of the family's 3401-position model. Lineage: Eukaryota; Fungi; Ascomycota; Sordariomycetes; Amphisphaeriales; Apiosporaceae. The record is from RNAcentral.